UGUACUUCUUCUUGGCUCGCAAGCCCCACACGGAGGCUGAGUAAACACGCUAGUGAUGGUAGGUGUGUGCAGUUCGCCCCCGUGGUUGCCAGUUAAGUUUGGUGAAUUCGAGAUUUUGUUAAAAUGGUUUGUGCUAGAAGCUAUGUGGGCUUUGUUUUAUUGUAGUGUUAACUACAAAACUAGUUAGAUUUUGACAAACUGGUGUGUUUUUGGGUUCGCUUGCCCCCUUCAUGUACUUGAUAUAUCAUGACUCUGAUUUAGUAAUAGAAGGGCUUCAAAACUGCAACAAAAAUGUCCAACUAAAUUAUUGUCAAUUAUAUUCGGGCAGAGAUAUGAAUAUAGGCAAAUAGUGUCAAACUCUAUGAAGUUUGGCUUGAUUCUCGUUUUUUCCAUGACCUUAAAAUUUCGCGUAUAAAUCAAUGACAUUGGGUUCGAUUUUUAAUUUUCCCAUAAAAUGAAAAUUCCCUCAAAAUAAUGCUUACAUGGCAAUUGGAAAAUACACGUAAGCUAUGUUGUCUUGCGACAAAAAUGACUCUGUUUCAUUAAGCAUCGUCGUUUUCUUUUUGUUUUGGGGAUUAAAUCAGAAUUAAAACAUUGUCCCUCUUCAAAUUAGGAUUCGUCAAGAGUUUCAUCCCCAAAGCUCUCGUUUUCGAUUCUGAACCAUUGCCAUGUAAGACCUACAUUCUCAAUCUUGAGACGAACAAAGAGCUAUGAUGCUGCCCUCAAGGACUUGGAAGCAAGCAAACAGGGGCUUGAAGGAGAAAUUUGUAAGGUUGGGGAAGAAAAUCGAAGCCUGAGUGAAGCAAACUUAUCUCGAGAGUGAAAUCCUUACCUUGAGGGAGAUCAAGGAGAGGAAGUUUCACGCCACACGAACCUAUGUAGUUCCAUUGAGCAGGAGAUAGCACGUCUGAAAGAGGAAAUCAAAGGGCUACAGGGCUUUAGUCGAACAAGUUGAAGCAGCAUGUCUCAGCCAAAAGAAUGAGAACUCAAUACUGAGAGAGAUGAAUGAAAUGAAGAGGACUCAAUUCAGAUGGAAAUCGACCACGUUUUACCCUUAAUUAAUCUACUCAGCAUUACGUUACACAUCAUCAAAUUAAUAGCUAGAAAACGUCAUUAAGGGAAAAUUAAUAAUCGGAGCCACAGUUAUGAAUUUAUACACGAAAUUUUAAGGUUAUGGGAAAAACAAAUGGGGCCAAACUUCAUGAAUUUUGACGCUAUAUAAUAGUCCCUCUCUCUCACACACACGCACAACGUUUUGCGGGAUCAUCAUCUGUAUGACAAUCAACAGAGAAAAUUUGUAAAGCAAAGAUGAUGAAUCCAAAUGUAAUCUGAUUGACAGACUAGGAGACGACGGUAUAAAUAAUGAAGUUGAUAGUAUCAGCGUGAGGCAUGAUGAUGAGAUCCUCAGCGUGGGCGUUGGGUGCGGGUGCGGCGUCGUGGCGGGAUGGAGGGUGGUAGUACAUCCGGGCAGUCUGCGGGUAGUGAGAUUGAAAUCUGGAAGCAAGCCUGAAGCCUAAAUCCAGAAGCUCCGUAUACUUCCCCAUUCCUUCUGCCCUCUGAUAUCUUCUUUCUCGGCAAAGGGAAAAGGGAAAUACUUAACAAAUUUCUCUCAAAUGUGCAAACUUUUGGAGGCCAUUUGCUUAUAACAAUGGGAGACGAGAGGAAAGGAGAAUUUUAAGGCUCCAAUUGCGUGUUGCUUGCAACGUUGGAUAGUUUUUCAGUCUGUUUCUUUGUUUUAUAUUUUACGCUUUGUAUUUGUAAUGACAAGUAUUUGUAUUCAUGUUUGUAAUUAUCUAUAUAUUUUCAAUAUGUUAUACACAUUAUCAGAAGUUUCCAAAUUGUUUAGUAAAG
This 1851-nucleotide long non-coding RNA is filed under the name Salvia miltiorrhiza (redroot sage). Its description in RNAcentral is "long non-coding RNA (SMIL_LNC005244)". The record is from RNAcentral. Lineage: Eukaryota; Viridiplantae; Streptophyta; Magnoliopsida; Lamiales; Lamiaceae.